UUGGUCAGAACGAACGCUGGCGGCGCGUCUUAAGCAUGCAAGUCGAACGGCAAGAGGUAGCAAUACCUCCUAGAGUGGCGGACUGGUGAGUAACACGUGGGUGACAUACCCUUCAGAUGGGGAUAGCUAUUAGAAAUAGUAGAUAAUACCGAAUACGAGCACAGGGGUUAGAGAUCUGUGAGGAAAGGAGCUAAGGCUCCGCUGAAGGAAUGGCCUGCGGCCCAUUAGCUAGUUGGUGAGGUAAGAGCCCACCAAGGCGAUGAUGGGUAUCCGGCCUUAGAGGGUGAACGGACACAUUGGGACUGAGAUACGGCCCAGACUCCUACGGGAGGCAGCAGCUAAGAAUAUUCCGCAAUGGACGAAAGUCUGACGGAGCGACGCCGCGUGGAUGAAGAAGGCCGGAAGGUUGUAAAAUCCUUUUGAAACUGAAGAAUAAGCGUUGUAGGGAAUGACAGCGUGGUGACAGUAGGUUUUGAAUAAGCAACGGCUAAUUACGUGCCAGCAGCAGC
Molecule: ribosomal RNA, 509 nt
Filed under: uncultured bacterium
Lineage: Bacteria
Description: bacterial SSU rRNA
Rfam family: Bacterial small subunit ribosomal RNA
Source: RNAcentral